Long non-coding RNA from Thunnus maccoyii (southern bluefin tuna), 818 nucleotides. RefSeq lists it as uncharacterized. The transcript has 5 exons. Lineage: Eukaryota; Metazoa; Chordata; Actinopteri; Scombriformes; Scombridae. The record is from RefSeq and is a predicted model, not a curated record.
GCACACUUUGUUUGAUCAUUAAUUAAAAUUGCUUGGUGGGUGGGUAGGAAGUAUUGUACCCGUUUGCAUGCUACUCUACCCUACUGGAUAUGCUUUACUGGUCCUGUUGAGCUGCUGCUUGCAGCAGUGUUAAUUUCGUUGACAAAUAAUUUUUGUCAUAGUUUUUGUCAGUGACAUUUUUUCACUGACUUUCACAAGACCCUUUGUAAACUGUGUGCAGCGACAAUCACUGGUAAAAACAACGAACUUGAAGCGACAUUUGCAGACAAGUCAUCCUGAAAUUCAAGCAAAGAUACAAAAGACCUUCAAUGACGAGAAUGGGCCACUGAGUGCAAAUUAAGUUGGCCAGUCUAAUGGGUAGUACUGCAGAUGUAUUCAGCUUGGAUUCCCUGAAAAGCAAGACAUUUACACCUCCUAUCUGUGGUGCUAGACUAGCUGUUGACUGCACUGCUUCACAAUUGGGAUUUAGCUGCAGGGAGGCGGGAGGCAAAACAAACAUGGAGAGUCUGUCUGCCCGCUCACGCCUGGACAAUCAUUACACGUGGAUGUCUGAGCAAGCACAUGAAUGUAUAUGUAUGCAACUGAAGAGCUCUUUCUACAUGUAGAGUUGGACAAAUUAAGCAGAGGGAAGAAAAUACAAGAGUGGAGAGGAGGAAAGGAGAAAGGAAGGAGAAGAGGACAGUUGGGAGGCAGCAGGAGAGGAAUGACUGGAGAUGAGAAGCACCAUGGGGAAUUCCACCACUUUCAAGAAACUCAGCCAUUUAGCCUCUGCAAUGACUUGUCACAACUGAAGUAGCAACAACCACCAAAUAAAAGCA